RNAcentral lists this small RNA (27 nucleotides) under Bombyx mori (domestic silkworm). Its description in RNAcentral is "ovarian small RNA-28022". Lineage: Eukaryota; Metazoa; Arthropoda; Insecta; Lepidoptera; Bombycidae. The record is from RNAcentral.
UCCUUCAAGCCACAUUGAGGCGUGAUG